GACGAACGCUGGCGGCGUGCUUAACACAUGCAAGUCGAACGGAAAGGCCCUGCUUUUGUGGGGUGCUCGAGUGGCGAACGGGUGAGUAACACGUGAGUAACCUGCCCUUGACUUUGGGAUAACUUCAGGAAACUGGGGCUAAUACCGGAUAGGAGCUCCUGCUGCAUGGUGGGGGUUGGAAAGUUUCGGCGGUUGGGGAUGGACUCGCGGCUUAUCAGCUUGUUGGUGGGGUAGUGGCUUACCAAGGCUUUGACGGGUAGCCGGCCUGAGAGGGUGACCGGCCACAUUGGGACUGAGAUACGGCCCAGACUCCUACGGGACGCAGCAGUGGGGAAUAUUGCACAAUGGGCGGAAGCCUGAUGCAGAAACGCCGCGUGCGGAAUGACGGCCUUCGGGUUGUAAACCGCUUUCGCCUGUGACGAAGCGUGAGUGACGGUAAUGGGUAAAGAAGCACCGGCUAACUACGUG
RNAcentral lists this ribosomal RNA (468 nucleotides) under uncultured bacterium. Its description in RNAcentral is "partial 16S ribosomal RNA". It matches the Rfam family "Bacterial small subunit ribosomal RNA", at positions 28 to 507 of the family's 1533-position model. The record is from RNAcentral.